Molecule: long non-coding RNA, 633 nt
Organism: Dreissena polymorpha
Lineage: Eukaryota; Metazoa; Mollusca; Bivalvia; Myida; Dreissenidae
Exons: 2
Source: RefSeq, a predicted model, not a curated record
UAUUGCUUUGCUCAUGUCGGUCUGUCGGUCCGUCUGUCGGUCCGUCCCCCAGGUGGUUGUCAGACGAUAACUCAAGAACGUUUGGGCCUAGGAUCAUGAAACUUCAUAGGUACAUUGAUCAUGACUCGCAGAUGACCCCUAUUGAUUUUGAGGUCACUAGGUCAAACGUCAAGGUCAUGGUGACCCGAAAUAGUAAAAUGGUUUCCGGAUGAUAACUCAAGAACGCUUAGGCCUAGGAUCAUGAAACUUGAUAGGUAGAUUGAUCAUGACUCGCAGAUGACCCCUAUUAAUUUUCAGGUCACUAGGUCGAAGGUCAAGGUCACAGUGACCCGAAAUAGUAAAAUGGUUUCCGGAUGAUAACUCAAGAACGCUUAGGCCUAGGAUCAUGAAACUUUAUAGGUAGAUUGAUCAUGACUCGCAGAUGACCCCUAUUGAUUUUCAGGUCACUAGGUCAAAGGUCAAGGUCACGAUGACCCGAAAUAGUAAAAUGGUUUCCGGAUGAUAACUGAAGAACGCUUAUUCCUAGGAUCAUGAAACUUGAUAGGUAGAAUGAUCAUGACUCGCAGAUGACCCCUAUUGAUUUUCAGGUCACUAGGUCAAAGGUCAAGGUCACGGUGACCCGAAAUAGUAAAA